CGCGUAGGCGGAUUCGCAAGUCCGGGGUGAAAUCUUUCGGCUCAACCGGAAAAGUGCCUUGGAUACUGCGAGUCUCGAGGGAGGUAGGGGCCGCGGGAACUUCCGGUGGAGCGGUGAAAUGCGUUGAUAUCGGAAGGAACGCCGGUGGCGAAAGCGCGCGGCUGGAUCUCCUCUGACGCUGAGGCGCGAAAGCUAGGGGAGCAAACG
This 207-nucleotide ribosomal RNA is filed under the name uncultured bacterium. RNAcentral describes it as "partial 16S ribosomal RNA". It matches the Rfam family "Bacterial small subunit ribosomal RNA", at positions 568 to 774 of the family's 1533-position model. The record is from RNAcentral.